AUUGAACGCUGGCGGCAGGCUUAACACAUGCAAGUCGAACGAGUGGCGGACGGGUGAGUAAUGCUUGGGAAUCUAGCUUAUGGCGGGGGAUAACUACUGGAAACUGUCGCUAAUACCGCGUACCAUAGGAUCAGCCCAAGUGGGAUUAGGUAGUUGGUGAGGUAAAGGCUCACCAAGGAAACGAUCACUAGCUGGUCUGAGAGGAUGACCAGCAACACUGGGACUGAGACACGGCCCAGACUCCGACGGGAGGCAGCAGUGGGGAAUAUUGCGCAAUGGGGGCAACCUGACGCAGCCAUGCCGCGUGAAUGAAGAAGGCCUUCGGGUUGUAAAGUUCUUUCGGUAGAGAAGCGUUAACUGCAGAAGAAGCACCGGCUAACUCCGUGCCAGCAGCCGCGGUAAUUC
This 405-nucleotide ribosomal RNA is filed under the name uncultured bacterium. RNAcentral describes it as "partial 16S ribosomal RNA". It matches the Rfam family "Bacterial small subunit ribosomal RNA", at positions 30 to 526 of the family's 1533-position model. The record is from RNAcentral.